GGAUGCGAUCAUACCAGCACUAAAGCACCGGAUCCCCUCAGAACUCCGAAGUUAAGCGUGCUUGGGCGAGAGUAGUACUAGGAUGGGUUACCUCCUGGGAAGUCCUCGUGUUGCAUUCCC
Molecule: ribosomal RNA, 120 nt
Filed under: Thinopyrum intermedium
Lineage: Eukaryota; Viridiplantae; Streptophyta; Magnoliopsida; Poales; Poaceae
Source: RNAcentral